RNAcentral lists this ribosomal RNA (626 nucleotides) under Pedobacter sp. Ri1Pw_5474. RNAcentral's name for it is "bacterial SSU rRNA". It matches the Rfam family "Bacterial small subunit ribosomal RNA", at positions 391 to 1017 of the family's 1533-position model. The record is from RNAcentral. Lineage: Bacteria; Pseudomonadati; Bacteroidota; Sphingobacteriia; Sphingobacteriales; Sphingobacteriaceae.
GCCAUGCCGCGUGCAGGAAGACUGCCCUAUGGGUUGUAAACUGCUUUUAUCCGGGAAUAAACCACGAUACGAGUAUUGUGCUGAAUGUACCGGAAGAAUAAGGAUCGGCUAACUCCGUGCCAGCAGCCGCGGUAAUACGGAGGAUCCAAGCGUUAUCCGGAUUUAUUGGGUUUAAAGGGUGCGUAGGCGGCCUGUUAAGUCAGGGGUGGAAGACGGUAGCUCAACUAUCGCAGUGCCUUUGAUACUGACGGGCUUGAAUGAACUAGAGGUAAGCGGAAUGAGACAAGUAGCGGUGAAAUGCAUAGAUAUGUCUCAGAACACCGAUUGCGAAGGCAGCUUACUAUGGUUUAAUUGACGCUGAGGCACGAAAGCGUGGGGAUCAAACAGGAUUAGAUACCCUGGUAGUCCACGCCCUAAACGAUGAACACUCGCUGUUGGCGAUACACAGUCAGCGGCUAAGCGAAAGCGUUAAGUGUUCCACCUGGGGAGUACGGUCGCAAGAUUGAAACUCAAAGGAAUUGACGGGGGCCCGCACAAGCGGAGGAGCAUGUGGUUUAAUUCGAUGAUACGCGAGGAACCUUACCCGGGCUUGAAAGUUAGUGAAUCAUUUAGAGAUAAAUGAGUGA